UCCUCACUGAUAUUUCUCCAUGGGUGAGGCUGAUGAUCUGAAAAUUGCUGUGAAGAGCACUAAGAAGCUUUGUAUUGUUAUGAUUGAUAACGUGGGAUCUGAGUUGCAAGUUAUCAACAACUGUGAGAAAGCUAUUACUCUUAAAGUGGAUGUACUUGUGGCUUUGACACUGAAUCAAGAUCAAAAAGAAGCCUCUUCUAUAGUCUUUCCCAUUAUUUAAUGCAGUGAAGAAAGGAGAUGCUAUCUUUGUUGGGCAAUACAUAUUCACUGGUACUGAAACAACUUCAGUUUUGCUUGAGAAAGUUUACAUAAAUUAUUGGCUCUUCAUUUUAAUGGUUGAAGCAAUUCCAUGACCACAGUCAUGGAGACUGAGGAUGAAGAAAUCUCUUAGAUCACAAAUAGUUCUGCUGUUCAUCUGGAGAUGGGGCAGAUCAUGAUACGGGAUGGUGAUGAAGCUGCGGCUCAGGAGGAUGAGAUGGUCGGGAACGAGCCUGAGGUAGAGAAGAAAAUGGAACCGGAGACGGAGUUUGAAAAACAGAAGGAGAAUAAGGAGAAGAAGCACUAACAAGGAGAGAGAGAUACGGAAACAGCAAGAGGUGAAGCGGUUUAAGAGCGAGGCUGCUGAGGCAGAGAGGAAGCGCAUAGAAGAAUAAGAAAGAGGGUCGGGAGAGCGCAGAGCGUGAACCUGCAGAGAGCUCUGCUCGACUGAGAAUGAGCCAAGAGAAAGUACUUCCUCUUGACAGAACUGAGAAAGGACCUGAUGCUACAAGAGUCAGCAGAUGUUAGUUGAUUCUUUGUCGUGCUAGAUGAAUUCUUUGGAAAUUUUUUUGAAUCAGCAUAAACAUUAUGCAUUACAUUAUACAUAGAUGAAUUAAU
This is a long non-coding RNA of Brassica oleracea var. oleracea, 876 nucleotides long. RefSeq lists it as uncharacterized. The transcript has 5 exons. The record is from RefSeq and is a predicted model, not a curated record. NCBI's taxonomy places the organism in Eukaryota, Viridiplantae, Streptophyta, Magnoliopsida, Brassicales, Brassicaceae.